ACCCCCGUAGCAAUGGGAAGAGCACCAGGGUUCAUAUCCUGGAGGGUGCAGGUUCGAAUCCCGCCGGGGGAG
RNAcentral lists this transfer RNA (72 nucleotides) under Monoraphidium minutum. Its description in RNAcentral is "tRNA-OTHER". It matches the Rfam family "tRNA". From Rfam's summary of the family: Transfer RNA (tRNA) molecules are approximately 80 nucleotides in length. Lineage: Eukaryota; Viridiplantae; Chlorophyta; Chlorophyceae; Sphaeropleales; Selenastraceae. The record is from RNAcentral.